This 593-nucleotide ribosomal RNA is filed under the name Didymella sp. RNAcentral's name for it is "partial large subunit ribosomal RNA". It matches the Rfam family "Eukaryotic large subunit ribosomal RNA", at positions 49 to 657 of the family's 3401-position model. Lineage: Eukaryota; Fungi; Ascomycota; Dothideomycetes; Pleosporales; Didymellaceae. The record is from RNAcentral.
AGCGGAGGAAAAGAAACCAACAGGGAUUGCCCUAGUAACGGCGAGUGAAGCGGCAACAGCUCAAAUUUGAAAUCUGGCGUCUUCGGCGUCCGAGUUGUAAUUUGCAGAGGGCGCUUUGGCAUUGGCAGCGGUCCAAGUUCCUUGGAACAGGACGUCACAGAGGGUGAGAAUCCCGUACGUGGUCGCUAGCCUUUACCGUGUAAAGCCCCUUCGACGAGUCGAGUUGUUUGGGAAUGCAGCUCUAAAUGGGAGGUAAAUUUCUUCUAAAGCUAAAUACUGGCCAGAGACCGAUAGCGCACAAGUAGAGUGAUCGAAAGAUGAAAAGCACUUUGGAAAGAGAGUUAAAAAGCACGUGAAAUUGUUGAAAGGGAAGCGCUUGCAGCCAGACUUGCCUGUAGUUGCUCAUCCGGGUUUCUACCCGGUGCACUCUUCUAUAGGCAGGCCAGCAUCAGUUUGGGCGGUUGGAUAAAGGUCUCUGUCAUGUACCUCUCUUCGGGGAGAACUUAUAGGGGAGACGACAUGCAACCAGCCUGGACUGAGGUCCGCGCAUCUGCUAGGAUGCUGGCGUAAUGGCUGUAAGCGGCCCGUCUUGA